Molecule: ribosomal RNA, 255 nt
Filed under: uncultured bacterium
Lineage: Bacteria
Description: partial 16S ribosomal RNA
Rfam family: Bacterial small subunit ribosomal RNA
Source: RNAcentral
UACGUAGGGUGCAAGCGUUGUCCGGAAUUAUUGGGCGUAAAGAGCUCGUAGGCGGUCUGUUGCGUCGGCUGUGAAAACCCGGGGGCUCAACCCCGGGCCUGCAGCCGAUACGGGCAGACUAGAGGUAGGCAGGGGAGAGCGGAACUCCUGGGUGUAGCGGUGGAAUGCGCAGAUAUCAGGAAGAACACCGGUGGCGAAGGCGGCUCUCUGGGCCUUACCUGACGCUGAGGAGCGAAAGCGUGGGUAGCGAACAGG